UCCGGUGGCGAUGCGCCUGGGGGUCACACCCGUUCCCAUCCCGAACACGAUGGUUAAGACCCAGGCGGCCGAUGGUACUUUGCUGGAGACGGCACGGAAGAGCAGGUGGCUGCCGGAA
RNAcentral lists this ribosomal RNA (118 nucleotides) under Lachnospiraceae bacterium Marseille-Q4251. Lineage: Bacteria; Bacillati; Bacillota; Clostridia; Lachnospirales; Lachnospiraceae. The record is from RNAcentral.